Myotis brandtii (Brandt's bat) is the source of this 277-nucleotide long non-coding RNA. RefSeq lists it as uncharacterized. The record is from RefSeq and is a predicted model, not a curated record. NCBI's taxonomy places the organism in Eukaryota, Metazoa, Chordata, Mammalia, Chiroptera, Vespertilionidae. The transcript has 3 exons.
GCCCCGCCUUGGUCAGUGUCGAGGCCACAGCAGCACCAUGACAGACCUCUCCGUGCGCCUGGCGGCUCUGAUCCUUCUAGGAGUGGCCCUGUGUGCUCCAGGCCCAAUGAGACGGUGACGGUGCUCCUAGGCGCGCACUCCCUGUCGCAACCUGAACUCUCCAAGCGCCGGUAUAAUGUGUCCCGAGCAGUGCCCCACCCUGGCAGCCGGCCGGAAACCAUCGACCACGACCUCCUUCUGCUGCAGCUGUCUGAGAAACGGGCCGCCGGCCCGACCG